Molecule: ribosomal RNA, 490 nt
Filed under: uncultured bacterium
Lineage: Bacteria
Description: partial 16S ribosomal RNA
Rfam family: Bacterial small subunit ribosomal RNA
Source: RNAcentral
AUUGAACGCUGGCGGCAGGCCUAACACAUGCAAGUCGAACGGUAACAGGAAGCAGCUUGCUGCUUUGCUGACGAGUGGCGGACGGGUGAGUAAUGUCUGGGAAACUGCCUGAUGGAGGGGGAUAACUACUGGAAACGGUAGCUAAUACCGCAUAACGUCGCAAGACCAAAGAGGGGGACUUUCGGGCCUCUUGCCAUCGGAUGUGCCCAGAUGGGAUUAGCUAGUAGGUGGGGUAACGGCUCACCUAGGCGACGAUCCCUAGCUGGUCUGAGAGGAUGACCAGCCACACUGGAACUGAGACACGGUCCAGACUCCUACGGGAGGCAGCAGUGGGGAAUAUUGCACAAUGGGCGCAAGCCUGAUGCAGCCAUGCCGCGUGUAUGAAGAAGGCCUUCGGGUUGUAAAGUACUUUCAGCGGGGAGGAAGGGAGUAAAGUUAAUACCUUUGCUCAUUGACGUUACCCGCAGAAGAAGCACCGGCUAACUCCGUG